AGUGAACGCUGGCGGUAGGCCUAACACAUGCAAGUCGAACGGCAGCACAGUAAGAGCUUGCUCUUACGGGUGGCGAGUGGCGGACGGGUGAGGAAUACAUCGGAAUCUACUUUUUCGUGGGGGAUAACGUAGGGAAACGUACGCUAAUACCGCAUACGACCUACGGGUGAAAGCAGGGGAUCUUCGGACCUUGCGCGAUUGAAUGAGCCGAUGUCGGAUUCGCUAGUUGGCGGGGUAAAGGCCCAGCAAGGCGACGCUCCGUAGCUGGUAUGAGAGGAUGAUUAGCCACACUGGAACUGAGACACGGUCCAGACUCCUACGGGAGGCAGCAGUGGGGAAUAUUGGACAAUGGGCGCAAGCCUGAUCCAGCCAUACCGCGUGGGUGAAGAAGGCCUUCGGGUUGUAAAGCCCUUUUGUUGGGAAAGUAGAGCAGCAGGUUAAUACCCCGCUGUUCUGACGGUACCCAAAGAAUAAGCACCGGCUAACUUCGUG
This 492-nucleotide ribosomal RNA is filed under the name uncultured bacterium. RNAcentral describes it as "partial 16S ribosomal RNA". It matches the Rfam family "Bacterial small subunit ribosomal RNA", at positions 29 to 507 of the family's 1533-position model. The record is from RNAcentral.